This 328-nucleotide long non-coding RNA is filed under the name Elaeis guineensis (African oil palm). RNAcentral describes it as "long non-coding RNA (EGUI_LNC041106)". The record is from RNAcentral. Lineage: Eukaryota; Viridiplantae; Streptophyta; Magnoliopsida; Arecales; Arecaceae.
GUAUAGUGGCAACGACCUUGCAUACUUCAUCACGGAUCCUUAACUGGUUCAUGUCUUCAACAUGGGUGACAUAUCACUCUCCAAUAGAUAGCAUUUUAAUUUGUAGUCCCAAGUGUAUGUGAUGGGAAAAAAAAAAGAAAAUGACCACAAAUAAGUUUGUGCAGACCUGAUCAGAACUAAAACAAAACUUCCCUAAGCCCUAACAGUUAAAUGGCAGAAAAAGACCAAGAUAUGGCCUUUUGCCUAAAUUAUUUAACAAACAAAAUUUUGGUCAGCAUAUGUCAGUACAUGACCUAGAAUAUCCACAGAUUAUUGCAAUACUACUAAU